CCACGUCGAACGGGGAGGAUUCUGCACCCAGUCUGUGUGCCUGUGCCCGGCUGCAGGAUGAAAGCCUUAGGGGCAUGGUGUUGCUAGGUACAGAGAAACUGCUUACUGUCCCAGGACUACAUCUUGCUCCUCCUAUCACCCGGCCAGGUCGUGUUCUGUGGAAAUUCUCAUGUCUGGAAGAAGGAAAAAAAUCCUCGUCCAGGUUUUAAAAAGGAAAAGAAAAAUACAGUAAUCUCUUCCUGCAUUUGGAACCUCAUUUACCACUCAGAGCCUUCCUGAGAGCGCCGGGGAUGAACAAUCAGGAGGUCAAGUUGCAGCCGAUCUUUGGAGGAGGAGAAGAGAAAGGAGCAAAAGAAUCCCUACCCUUCUGAAAAAAAUAAAAUAAAAUGCCACCGACAAAAAGCAGAGGGAAGCAUACAGCACCACAUCUAACCUCCAGGAGAAACAUCCUGGCUGCCGUCAGGUAGCUGUUCUGCGUGCUGCCGACCACUGCAGGCCAAAAGAGCCGCGGCGGGGAUGACUUCAAAGUUAAGGAAGCAACUAGGGUGAAAUAAUACUGUCAAUCUUUUUUCAUUUCAUUUGUAAGGGGGGAAUAGCUGAAAUAAAUAACAAACGUGUGACUUUC
Cygnus olor (mute swan) is the source of this 625-nucleotide long non-coding RNA. RefSeq lists it as uncharacterized. The transcript is spliced from 2 exons. Lineage: Eukaryota; Metazoa; Chordata; Aves; Anseriformes; Anatidae. The record is from RefSeq and is a predicted model, not a curated record.